Molecule: ribosomal RNA, 408 nt
Filed under: uncultured bacterium
Lineage: Bacteria
Description: partial 16S ribosomal RNA
Rfam family: Bacterial small subunit ribosomal RNA
Source: RNAcentral
GACGAACGCUGGCGGCGUGCUUAACACAUGCAAGUCGAACGAAGUGGCGAACGGGUGAGUAACGCGUAAUCAACCUGCCCUUCAGAGGGGGACAACAGUUGGAAAAGACUGCUAAUACCGCAUACUGAAGGUGGGGAUUGCGUCUGAUUAGCUAGUUGGAGGGGUAACGGCCCACCAAGGCGAUGAUCAGUAGCCGGGCUGAGAGGAUGAAUGGCCACAUUGGGACGGAGACACGGCCCAGAAUCCUACGGGAGGCAGCAGGGGGGAAUUGUCCGCCAUGGAGCGAAGUCGUACGGAGCCACGCCGCGUGGGGGAUGACGGCCUUCGGGUUUUAAAGCUCUGUUAAUCGGGACGCGUUACCGGAAGAGAAAGCCACGGCUAACUACGUGCCAGCAGCCGCGGUAAUAC